Molecule: long non-coding RNA, 217 nt
Organism: Impatiens glandulifera
Lineage: Eukaryota; Viridiplantae; Streptophyta; Magnoliopsida; Ericales; Balsaminaceae
Exons: 2
Source: RefSeq, a predicted model, not a curated record
UUACUUCAUUGCAUCUCUCUCUCUCCUUCUCUCUCACACACACACAUACACACAAAUGGCGAAUCAACAACAGAUAUCGAGUAAGCCACGAUUCCUCGAUGCAAUACCUUUAUUAGCAGCAAUCUUAAUCGUCGCUCAUGUCCUCGCUCUGGUCUACUGGAUUUACAGAUUAGCUAAAACUGAGAAACAAACGAUGAGGAGAAAGGAACACUAGAAG